GACGAACGCUGGCGGCGUGCUUAACACAUGCAAGUCGAACGGAAAGGCCCUGCUUUUGUGGGUUGCUCGAGUGGCGAACGGGUGAGUAACACGUGAGUAACCUGCCCUUGACUUUGGGAUAACUUCAGGAAACUGGGGCUAAUACCGGAUAGGAGCUCCUGCUGCAUGGUGGGGGUUGGAAAGUUUCGGCGGUUGGGGAUGGACUCGCGGCUUAUCAGCUUGUUGGUGGGGUAGUGGCUUACCAAGGCUUUGACGGGUAGCCGGCCUGAGAGGGUGACCGGCCACAUUGGGACUGAGAUACGGACCAGACUCCAACGGGAGGCAGCAGUGGGGAAUAUUGCACAAUGGGCGGAAGCCUGAUGCAGCAACGCCGCGUGCGGGAUGACGGCCUUCGGGUUGUAAACCGCUUUCGCCUGUGACGAAGCGUGAGUGACGGUAAUGGGUAAAGAAGCACCGGCUAACUACGUG
This 468-nucleotide ribosomal RNA is filed under the name uncultured bacterium. RNAcentral describes it as "partial 16S ribosomal RNA". It matches the Rfam family "Bacterial small subunit ribosomal RNA", at positions 28 to 507 of the family's 1533-position model. The record is from RNAcentral.